GCUUGGGAGAGAAUCUGGCAACCACUGGUGCGGGAACUUUGGCUUCCAGGUGAACCAUUCCUCUCCCUGCCUUCUUUUACUUCCCUUAAUCUGAUAAUUUAUCACAUAUUUUCUUUUCUUUUUUCAGUUGAAUCAAGUCAAGCCAUCACUGGUUCACCACAUUGCACGGUGGGGACUAGGUGUGUGGAACUGUGGAAGUACUUGCCGGUUGCCACCCAUCAUGGAGGUGUUGGUCAAGGCCAAGGCAACAUGCUCCUUGCUAUUGGAGUUCAUGGCGCAGAUCUCCUAUAGUGCAUAUCCGUUCAGCGACAGACUUAUUCAACUUUCUCAAGCUAUUCCUACACUUUGAUUUCAUUCAGGUCAAUGCUCUCAUAUGAAUCUCUCAUGCCAGCCAAUUCGCAACAGUUGAGAUAUUUUAAUGACCAAUUGAUAAAGAAAGAAAUAAUUUCUAUCACCUUGCUAACUGCUGGCAAAUCCACGGCCAAUAUUAGAGAGGAAAUCUUUCCGGCACCAGGGUAUGAGCGGGGGAAUUGCCCCAUUUGCCACACUUUUUUUUCCACUUUGCAUAUUUGCCACACCAUGUGUCACUCACAUGUGGUGGUUGGGAAAAUAUGCAAUAAAAAAUGUAAAGUGUGGCAAAUGUGCAAAUAUUCCGGGUAUGAGAAGACCAUGUAGUGCAUCUGCCACCACGUAGUUCGUCCUCUUUAAUGGGAAUGCAAAAUAAACUUAGUAAGAACAGUAAGAAGUUACCUACUUCACUGUGAGUUUUUACAGCCGAUGACCCUUUCAUAUUAUUCAUUUUAUAUUUGUACAUGCAUAUAACCUGCCAGGCUGAUGCUCUUAAUUCAUGUGUUCUUUGGAUAAAUGGACUUUUGACACAGAUACAUGAAAGGAAAUCUUCUGAAUAUUGGACGAUCAGGUAAUUAUAUUUGUCUUAAAUGCCCCUCCUUAUUGAUAAUUGCAGCCCUGUUCUCUUAUUUUCAUAGGGUCAUAUCUCUAUUCUAACAAAAGUGCAUAUCAGAUUUGAAAUAUAACAUGUUCACUAAUAUAUCAGAUUCGAAAUGCUAAUCCUUUGUUUUUUUUGGGAAACCCCUCUUUUCAUCUAUUAGUAUUUAGUUAGCCGAAUUUUAUCACCUUUCAAAGAUAGAAGGCUAAGUUUUUUUCCUUAAAAAUGAUGUGAUAGGUAUAUGGAAAUAAGCAAAAUUUUGUUUCACCUUAAUUUUCAUGCAAUUGUCUUAAUAUUUCUUUUGCAUGAUUACCUUCUUGAUACUAAAUUUAUAGAAAGUUAUCAUCAAAGAUACUUAAGGAUUGCUUCAAAUUUUUGCCGUGAAUUUGUCAUCAUUCGUGAAAUACAGAUGUCUUUUCAUGUUUGUUGAAUUGUGUCUUAUAGUUUCUUAUAGUGUGCAGUUUCUUCCACUACCAGUUUGCUGAAACUAUGCUUGCUCAGACAAGUUCCAGCUUUGACUGAUGGUAAGGUGGUAAUAAUUAAACUUGCUAAUGCGAUGUAGUCUUGCAAGUAAUGGUGUACUCACAUCGUGCGAUGUAAUCUUGCAAGUAAGGUGGCCUCUUUACUGAGAGGUGUUGUGGGGCUGGGUCAUUGUUGGCUAUAAGGUGAUGCUCCUAUGUCACAUUAUUCAUCAGUGCGGUCAUAUUUUUCCCAUGAGGCAACUAGAAAAUGCCUGGAAAAGACACACUUGCACACACUAAUGUUAAUAGGGACCGAGUUACCAAAUGACCAUUGUAUGUGAGCAUUUUUUUUCCGUAUUGCAGCAACGAAAAACUGGCUACGGUUUUAUUAGCUUAUUAUUCAUUUCGUACUAUGCAGAGAUAUACUACAACAAGAUGUGUUCUCCUAAUCAUUUUGCCCAGAUCCCAUGUAUGGUAACUUCCUAUUAUUUGAAUUUUGAAGAUAUCAAUGUUGAUUAUGCCCAGCUUUGAUGUUUUUCUUUUGGAAAUAUACCAGCUUAAAUCUGUUACUGUCCAUGCUACUUAGGAAUACCAUAACUGCCUUCAGUUUAUGAUAUUAUUUCCACAAGCAUGCAUAUCUACAUACUCUAUAUUUGGGGAGUGCUGUUUUUCAGAUUCAUGAGACUUCUAGACAAAAUGGAUACACAUCAGCAUCAGCUCCACCAGAUGGCAUUAUCCUUGGAAUAGACACACCUGAAGCUAUUGUUAAAAUUUGGAAUGUAAAAUGUCAGUAAAGGAGGUGAUCGAAGAUUUAAUUGAGUCAGGGGAUGAGAUUACGGAAGCUAGGCCCACAAAGAGGAGGAGCUCGACUGGUUGGACCAAGAUGACACCACCAACGAAGAACCUAAGGGAACCAAGAUGACACCACCAACG
This is a non-coding RNA of Lolium perenne, 2340 nucleotides long. NCBI's taxonomy places the organism in Eukaryota, Viridiplantae, Streptophyta, Magnoliopsida, Poales, Poaceae. The record is from RefSeq and is a predicted model, not a curated record.